Molecule: ribosomal RNA, 301 nt
Filed under: uncultured bacterium
Lineage: Bacteria
Description: partial 16S ribosomal RNA
Rfam family: Bacterial small subunit ribosomal RNA
Source: RNAcentral
CAGCAGCCGCGGUAAUACGUAGGUGGCAAGCGUUGUCCGGAAUUAUUGGGCGUAAAGGGCUCGCAGGCGGUUUCUUAAGUCUGAUGUGAAAGCCCCCGGCUCAACCGGGGAGGGUCAUUGGAAACUGGGAAACUUGGGUGCAGAAGAGGAGAGUGGAAUUCCACGUGUAGCGGUGAAAUGCGUAGAGAUGUGGAGGAACACCAGUGGCGAAGGCGACUCUCUGGUCUGUAACUGACGCUGGGGAGCGAAAGCGUGGGGAGCGAACAGGAUUAGAUACCCGCGUAGUCCCUGUCUCUUAUAC